AGCACAGAUGAUGAGUACUGGGACUUAAUGCUGAGCUCGUGAUGUCUCCAGUAUGAGCUGAUGUGC
Small nucleolar RNA from Varanus komodoensis (Komodo dragon), 66 nucleotides. Its record names the gene SNORD82. It matches the Rfam family "Small nucleolar RNA SNORD82". From Rfam's summary of the family: snoRNA U82 or Z25 is found in both humans and mice. U82/Z25 is a member of the C/D class of snoRNA which contain C (UGAUGA) and D (CUGA) box motifs. Most of the members of the box C/D family function in directing site-specific 2'-O-methylation of substrate RNAs. The record is from Ensembl. NCBI's taxonomy places the organism in Eukaryota, Metazoa, Chordata, Lepidosauria, Squamata, Varanidae.